Molecule: small RNA, 132 nt
Filed under: Klebsiella quasivariicola
Lineage: Bacteria; Pseudomonadati; Pseudomonadota; Gammaproteobacteria; Enterobacterales; Enterobacteriaceae
Description: RtT sRNA
Rfam family: RtT RNA
About the family: This family represents a bacterial cis-regulatory element known as RtT RNA. The exact function of RtT is unknown although it is thought that it may be involved in changing the cellular response in relation to amino acid starvation.
Source: RNAcentral
GAUUCUGCCCUACGGGGAAGGAUGAGAAGCUUCGACCAAGGUUCGACUCGAGCGUAGCGAGAGAACGUUGCCGCAGGCAACGGCCCGAAGGGCGAGGCGCUUGAGCGCCGAGUUAUCCUUCCCCCACCACCA